This 446-nucleotide ribosomal RNA is filed under the name uncultured bacterium. Its description in RNAcentral is "bacterial SSU rRNA". It matches the Rfam family "Bacterial small subunit ribosomal RNA", at positions 329 to 792 of the family's 1533-position model. The record is from RNAcentral.
UCCCAGACUCCUACGGGAGGCAGCAGUGGGGGAUAUUGCACAAUGGGGGGAACCCUGAUGCAGCGACGCCGCGUGGGUGAAGGAGCGUUUCGGCGCGUAAAGCCCUGUCAGCAGGGAAGAAAAUGACGGUACCUGACUAAGAAGCCCCGGCUAACUACGUGCCAGCAGCCGCGGUAAUACGUAGGGGGCAAGCGUUAUCCGGAUUUACUGGGUGUAAAGGGAGCGUAGACGGCAGUGCAAGUCCGGAGUGAAAGCCCGGGGCUCAACCCUGGGACUGCUCUGGAAACUGUAAAGCUGGAGUGCGGGAGGGGCAGGCGGAAUUCCUGGUGUAGCGGUGAAAUGCGUAGAUAUCAGGAGGAACACCGGCGGCGAAGGCGGCCUGCUGGACCGUAACUGACGUUGAGGCUCGAAAGCGUGGGGAGCAAACAGGAUUAGAUACCCUUGUA